This 74-nucleotide small RNA is filed under the name Tenacibaculum todarodis. RNAcentral describes it as "Tenacibaculum sp. LPB0136 Flavo-1 RNA". It matches the Rfam family "Flavo-1 RNA". The record is from Rfam by way of RNAcentral. Lineage: Bacteria; Pseudomonadati; Bacteroidota; Flavobacteriia; Flavobacteriales; Flavobacteriaceae.
GUUUAGCCCUGAUUGAAGUGAUAUCCUUUUUUUAUUUUUCAUAAAAAAAGAUAUAACGGAAAGCAGGAAAUAGC